This 302-nucleotide unclassified non-coding RNA is filed under the name uncultured Glomus. RNAcentral describes it as "bacterial SSU rRNA". It matches the Rfam family "Eukaryotic small subunit ribosomal RNA", at positions 569 to 877 of the family's 1831-position model. The record is from RNAcentral. Lineage: Eukaryota; Fungi; Glomeromycota; Glomeromycetes; Glomerales; Glomeraceae.
AGCAGCUGCGGUAAUUCCAGCUCCAAUAGCGUAUAUUAAAGUUGUUGCAGUUAAAAGCUCGUAGUUGAAUUUCGGGAUCAAUUAAUCGGUCGUGCCUCUGGUACGCACUGGUUUUAUUGGUUUCUCCCUUCUGACGAACCAGGAUGUCAUUAAUUUGGUGUCUUGGAGAAUCAGGACUGUUACUUUGAAAAAUUGAGUGUUUAAAGCAGGCUUCUAGGCAUGAAUACAUUAGCAUGGAAUAAUGAAAUAGGACGUUUGAUCCUAUUUUGUGGUUUCUAGGAUCGACGUAAUGAUUAAUAGGG